UUCGUAAGUGACUGCGGAGGAUCAUUAUUGAAUAAAAAACUCAGGCAGGGGGGAGUGUGGUUGUAGCUGGCCCCUAAUAAGGGCAUGUGCACACUGCUCUCUUUCUCUUGUUUGUUUUUUUCAUUCUUUCCACUUGUGCACUGCUUGUAGGCAGCCUGGCAUUGUUCGGGUUGUCUAUGAUUUUCUUUUACAUACAUGAAUCAUUGUUGAACAGAAUGUGAUAAAAAAUAAUAAUACAACUUUCAACAACGGAUCUCUUGGCUCUCGCAUCGAUGAAGAACGCAGCGAAAUGCGAUAAGUAAUGUGAAUUGCAGAAUUCAGUGAAUCAUCGAAUCUUUGAACGCAUCUUGCGCUCCUUGGUAUUCCGAGGAGCAUGCCUGUUUGAGUGUCAUUAAAUUCUGUCAAAACAUGCACUUGAGUGUGUGUUUUGGAUUGUGGGAGUGUCUGCUGGCUUUAAAUGAGUCAGCUCUCCUGAAAGACAUUAGCUUUGGAGGGAUGUGCCAAGUCGCUUCUGCCUUUCCAUUGGUGUGAUAGACGAAUAAACUUAUCUACGCCAGGAAAGCAGGUUUCAGGUGAUGCACUGUGAUCUCUCUGCUCUCUAAUUGACAUUGUCUGAUAACUGACCUCAAAUC
Molecule: ribosomal RNA, 632 nt
Filed under: uncultured Amanita
Lineage: Eukaryota; Fungi; Basidiomycota; Agaricomycetes; Agaricales; Amanitaceae
Description: eukaryotic LSU rRNA
Rfam family: 5.8S ribosomal RNA (bases 238-391)
Source: RNAcentral